Molecule: ribosomal RNA, 588 nt
Filed under: Macrococcus sp.
Lineage: Bacteria; Bacillati; Bacillota; Bacilli; Caryophanales; Staphylococcaceae
Description: bacterial SSU rRNA
Rfam family: Bacterial small subunit ribosomal RNA
Source: RNAcentral
GGCGUGCCUAAUACAUGCAAGUCGAGCGAACGGACGAGAGUGCUUGCACUCUCUGAUGUUAGCGGCGGACGGGUGAGUAACACGUGGGUAACCUACCUAUAAGACUGGGAUAACUUCGGGAAACCGGAGCUAAUACCGGAUAAUAUUUAGCUUCGCAUGAAGCAAUAGUGAAAGACGGUUCUGCUGUCACUUAUAGAUGGACCCGCGGUGUAUUAGCUAGUUGGUGAGGUAACGGCUCACCAAGGCAACGAUACAUAGCCCACCUGAGAGGGUGAUCGGCCACACUGGGACUGAAACACGGCCCACACUCCUACGGGAGGCAGCAUUAUGGAAUCUUCCCCAAUGGACGAAAGUCUGACGGAACAACGCGCCGUGACUGAAGAAGGGUUUCCGAACCGAAAACUCUGUUGGAAGGGAAGAACAAGUAGGUUAGUAACUGAAUGUACCUCGACGGUGCCUUACCUGAAAGCCACGGUUAGUUACGUGCCGCCAGCCGCGGUAAUACCUAUGUGGCAAGCGUUAUCCGAAAUUAUUGGCGCGUACAGCGCGCGUAGGCCCUCUCUUAUCUCUGAUGUGAAAGCCCCCGGC